This 285-nucleotide long non-coding RNA is filed under the name Homo sapiens (human). RNAcentral describes it as "non-protein coding lnc-DNAJC14-3:1". The record is from RNAcentral. Lineage: Eukaryota; Metazoa; Chordata; Mammalia; Primates; Hominidae.
UUCUUUGCCUAAAAUUCUGAUGUCUUUAUCCUUUGAGUUACUAUUGAGCCAAUCCUCCCUUACCCAGUUUUUAUAUAACUGAAGUUUUGAAUCUAAGUGUAGGAAGUUAUAUGUAUACCUUAUUCCUACUAAAUUGAGUCUUUGUUUUGGCUUAUUAUUAGUCCUGAAGAAGUGUUUUUUUUUUUUUCUGUUUCCGUGUUGCAUUUUUUAAGCUUAGUUAUGUCAAUAAUCCAUCAAUUCUCCUUCCUCCUAUUGUCUGUAAAAUUGAUGAACAUAGCUUUUAUA